CCUACGGGGGGCUGCAGUGGGGAAUAUUGGACAAUGGGCGAAAGCCUGAUCCAGCCAUGCCGCGUGUGUGAAGAAGGCCUUCGAGUUGUAAAGCACUUUCAGUGGGGAAGAAAGCCUUGGGGCUAAUACCCUCGAGGAAGGACAUCACCCACAGAAGAAGCACCGGCUAACUCCGUGCCAGCAGCCGCGGUAAUACGGAGGGUGCGAGCGUUAAUCGGAAUUACUGGGCGUAAAGCGCGCGUAGGCGGUCUGAUAAGCCGGUUGUGAAAGCCCCGGGCUCAACCUGGGAACGGCAUCCGGAACUGUCAGGCUAGAGUGCAGGAGAGGAAGGUAGAAUUCCCGGUGUAGCGGUGAAAUGCGUAGAGAUCGGGAGGAAUACCAGUGGCGAAGGCGGCCUUCUGGACUGACACUGACGCUGAGGUGCGAAAGCGUGGGUAGCAAACAGGAUUAGAUACCCCAGUAGUC
Molecule: ribosomal RNA, 465 nt
Filed under: Vreelandella stevensii
Lineage: Bacteria; Pseudomonadati; Pseudomonadota; Gammaproteobacteria; Oceanospirillales; Halomonadaceae
Description: partial 16S ribosomal RNA
Rfam family: Bacterial small subunit ribosomal RNA
Source: RNAcentral